Molecule: ribosomal RNA, 496 nt
Filed under: uncultured bacterium
Lineage: Bacteria
Description: partial 16S ribosomal RNA
Rfam family: Bacterial small subunit ribosomal RNA
Source: RNAcentral
GAUGAACGCUAGCGGCAGGCUUAACACAUGCAAGUCGAGGGGUAUUAGGAGCUUGCUCCUAAGAGACCGGCGCACGGGUGCGUAACGCGUAUGCAACCUACCUUGAACAGGGGGAUAGCCCAGAGAAAUUUGGAUUAAUACCCCAUGGUAUAUUAGAAUGGCAUCAUUUUAUUAUUAAAGUCACAACGGUUCAAGAUGGGCAUGCGUCCCAUUAGCUAGAUGGUAAGGUAACGGCUUACCAUGGCUACGAUGGGGAGGGGUCCUGAAAGGGAGAUCCCCGACACUGGGACUGAGACACGGACCAGACUCCCACGGGAUGCAGCAGUGAGGGAUAUUGGUCAAUGGGCGCAAGCCUGAACCAGCCAUGCCGCGUGCAGGAUGAAGCAUCUAUGGUGUGUAAACUGCUUUUAUACGGGAAGAAACCCUGCCACGUGUGGCAGAUUGACGGUACCGUAGGAAUAAGGAUCGGCUAACUCCGUGCCAGCCGCCGCAGUAA